AGUAUCCAUACAUGAUGUAGCUUGUCUCGCGGAUCGGAAUCCUGAAUUUUUGGCACCGAAAAUAGCUGGGCGGGCGGCGGAUUGGCCUGUAGGGCGGGCGACGCUUAGUGCGUGCCGCUCCGCCGUGUUAACCGCCCGUAGGUCUGUAACUGGCGUACUUUAUUCCCCGAACCGUAAAAAAAUAAAACAGCCAUCAUGGACGCGAUCAAGAAGAAGAUGCAGGCGAUGAAGCUGGAGAAGGACAAUGCCAUGGACAAGGCAGACACCUGCGAACAGCAGGCUAGGGACGCUAACCUCCGCGCCGAAAAGGUCAACGAGGAAGUCCGUGAACUUCAAAAGAAGCUCACCCAAGUAGAAGAGGACUUGUCCCUCAACAAGAACAAAUUAGAGCAGGCUAACAAGGACCUCGAAGAGAAGGAAAAGCAGCUUACCGCGACCGAGGCGGAGGUGGCAUCCCUCAACAGGAAGGUACAGCAGAUUGAGGAGGACCUCGAGAAGUCUGAGGAGAGGUCUGGCACCGCCCAACAGAAACUGUUAGAAGCACAGCAGUCCGCUGAUGAGAACAACCGUAUGUGCAAAGUAUUGGAGAACAGAUCACAGCAGGACGAAGAGCGUAUGGACCAACUUACCAACCAGCUGAAGGAGGCCCGUCUCUUGGCUGAAGACGCUGACGGCAAAUCUGAUGAGGUUUCCCGUAAACUGGCCUUCGUUGAAGACGAGUUGGAAGUAGCUGAGGACCGUGUCAAGUCUGGUGACGCCAAAAUCUCAGAACUUGAAGAAGAAUUAAAGGUCGUAGGUAACUCCCUUAAAUCACUAGAGGUCUCAGAAGAGAAGGCCAACCAGCGUGUAGAGGAAUUCAAAAAACAAUUGAAGACCCUCACUAUCAAGCUCAAGGAGGCUGAGGCUCGCGCUGAAUACGCCGAAAAGACUGUCAAGAAACUGCAGAAGGAGGUCGACAGGCUCGAAGACUCUUUGUUCAACGAAAAGGAGAAAUACAAGGCGAUAUGCGAUGACCUGGACGGAACAUUCGCAGAGCUGACAGGAUACUAACUUCCCUUAGCAUUUAGUUUAAGACAGUACCGUCCACAUAGAACCACUGUCACCAUUAGUAUAGACCCAUAUCAAAAUUUCUACCUGAAUGUUCGAUUUUUAGUACCCGGGAAGUCGUCGUAAAUUAUCUUAUAAAUAACGUUUCCACUUUAUUGAAUCUUCAUUCUAACGCUUAGACUAUGUUCCUUAAUCCUAACCCUUUCAAAUUUUAUAGGAUUGUCAUACACUUAUUUUCGUUACAAUGACAUUCCUAUGAGAUGUUUCAUUUGUAAACCUGCUUUUUGUGUUGUAACUAAUGUCUUAUGCUUUGCUGCUACCGAGGUGGAUCAAUGCUUCUAAGACGAGCUCGGCAUCAACAAGGACAGAUACAAGAGCCUGGCUGAUGAGAUGGACUCCACUUUCGCCGAGUUGGCUGGAUACUAAACAAAACAGCGCACCAACACUACACGUGAUCUAAUUUAUUAAUUUAUGUAAAUUUAUUUACGAUUUUCAAUAAAAUUAUUUGUAACAUCUA
Pieris napi is the source of this 1564-nucleotide RNA transcript. It is a transcript of the gene named tropomyosin-1, with no coding region annotated. The transcript is spliced from 8 exons. Lineage: Eukaryota; Metazoa; Arthropoda; Insecta; Lepidoptera; Pieridae. The record is from RefSeq and is a predicted model, not a curated record.